UACGGAGGAUCCAAGCGUUAUCCGGAAUUACUGGGCGUAAAGAGUUGCGUAGGUGGCAUGGUAAGUUGAUAGUGAAAGCGUCCGGCUCAACCGGAUAUCCAUUAUCAAAACUGCCAAGCUAGAGGAUGAGAGAGGUUAUUGGAAUUCCUGAUGUAGGGGUAAAAUCCGUUGAUAUUAGGAGGAACACCGAUGGCGUAGGCAGAUAACUGGCUCAUUCCUGACACUAAGGCACGAAAGCGUGGGUAGCAAACAGG
RNAcentral lists this ribosomal RNA (254 nucleotides) under uncultured bacterium. RNAcentral's name for it is "partial 16S ribosomal RNA". It matches the Rfam family "Bacterial small subunit ribosomal RNA", at positions 524 to 776 of the family's 1533-position model. The record is from RNAcentral.